GCACAGAUCACGGGAGAAUCAGCCCAGCUGAUGCCGAAGGAGCAACCGCCCCGGAAACUCUCAGGCACAAGGACCGCGAUCUGACG
This 86-nucleotide non-coding RNA is filed under the name Sulfitobacter geojensis. RNAcentral describes it as "Glycine sequence". It matches the Rfam family "Glycine riboswitch aptamer". From Rfam's summary of the family: This family represents the bacterial glycine riboswitch. Glycine riboswitches usually consist of two metabolite-binding aptamers domains with similar structures in tandem. Lineage: Bacteria; Pseudomonadati; Pseudomonadota; Alphaproteobacteria; Rhodobacterales; Roseobacteraceae. The record is from RNAcentral.